AGGACGAACGCUGGCGGCGUGCUUAACACAUGCAAGUCGAGCGGUGAUCCUCCUUCGGGAGGUGAUCAGCGGCGAACGGGUGAGUAACACGUGGGCAACCUGCCCCUCACACUGGGAUAACCUCGGGAAACCGGGGCUAAUACCGGAUACGACCUCGAGCGGCAUCUCUUGAGGUGGAAAGCUCCGACGGUGAGGGAUGGGCCCGCGGCCUAUCAGCUUGUUGGUGGGGUAAUGGCCUACCAAGGCGACGACGGGUA
This 257-nucleotide ribosomal RNA is filed under the name uncultured bacterium. RNAcentral's name for it is "partial small subunit ribosomal RNA". It matches the Rfam family "Bacterial small subunit ribosomal RNA", at positions 26 to 285 of the family's 1533-position model. The record is from RNAcentral.